This 253-nucleotide ribosomal RNA is filed under the name uncultured bacterium. RNAcentral's name for it is "partial 16S ribosomal RNA". It matches the Rfam family "Bacterial small subunit ribosomal RNA", at positions 524 to 776 of the family's 1533-position model. The record is from RNAcentral.
GACGUAGGGGGCUAGCGUUGUUCGGAAUUACUGGGUGUAAAGGGUUCGUAGGCGGUGUGGCAAGUCGGGAGUGAAAUCUCUGGGCUCAACCCAGAGGCUGCUUCCGAAACUGCUGUGCUUGAGUGUGGGAGAGGCGCGUGGAAUUGCAGGUGUAGCGGUGAAAUGCGUAGAUAUCUGCAGGAACACCCGUGGCGAAAGCGGCGCGCUGGACCACUACUGACGCUGAAGAACGAAAGCUAGGGGAGCAAACAGG